This 752-nucleotide ribosomal RNA is filed under the name uncultured bacterium. RNAcentral describes it as "bacterial SSU rRNA". It matches the Rfam family "Bacterial small subunit ribosomal RNA", at positions 28 to 764 of the family's 1533-position model. The record is from RNAcentral.
GAUGAACGCUGGCGGCAUGCCUAAUACAUGCAAGUCGAACGAGAGGAAGGAAAGCUUGCUUUUCUGAAUCUAGUGGCGAACGGGUGAGUAACACGUAGGUAACCUGCCCAUGUGCCCGGGAUAACUUCUGGAAACGGAUGCUAAAACCGGAUAGGUAGCAGACAAGCAUUUGACUGCUAUUAAAGUGGCUAAGGCCAUGAACAUGGAUGGACCUGCGGUGCAUUAGCUAGUUGGUGAGGUAACGGCCCACCAAGGCGACGAUGCAUAGCCGGCCUGAGAGGGCGGACGGCCACAUUGGGACUGAGACACGGCCCAAACUCCUACGGGAGGCAGCAGUAGGGAAUUUUCGUCAAUGGGGGGAACCCUGAACGAGCAAUGCCGCGUGAGUGAGGAAGGUCUUCGGAUCGUAAAGCUCUGUUGUAAGAGAAAAACGACAUUCAUAGGGAAUGAUGAGUGAGUGAUGGUAUCUUACCAGAAAGUCACGGCUAACUACGUGCCAGCAGCCGCGGUAAUACGUAGGUGGCGAGCGUUAUCCGGAAUGAUUGGGCGUAAAGGGUGCGUAGGUGGCAGAACAAGUCUGGAGUAAAAGGUAUGGGCUCAACCCGUACUGGCUCUGGAAACUGUUCAGCUAGAGAACAGAAGAGGACGGCGGAACUCCAUGUGUAGCGGUAAAAUGCGUAGAUAUAUGGAAGAACACCGGUGGCGAAGGCGGCCGUCUGGUCUGUUGCUGACACUGAAGCACGAAAGCGUGC